AUCUUUAAUAAUAAAACCACUUUGCAGCAGCCGUAGUUCUGUAAAUGGAUAUCUUACUUAUUAAACAAAAUGUAAUUGGAAAAUAAAACGCACUGUCACCAAAUAAUGGCCCAUGUAACAAAUAAUCAGUUUGGAUGCAGCUACAAGAUUUUUCUGGCACAAUAGUAAAUUAAACACUUCAGCAAAUUUGUUAAACCAAUGAAAAUUCCAAUCCUGUGUGUUUUGUUUUAAUGAUGUAGGAAUGUGAACAACAAGAUGUUUUCUUUUUUUUGUUCACGUUAGAGUGAACAGAAAAAUAAUUUAACAGACAAAGAAAGUUUCUGGUGUUUUCCUGGGAAAAUGAGGUUAGAGCAGUUAGAAACACCAUUCGUAGCUUAAAGCAAUAGAGUUUAUUCAGAUGUUUUUGUUUUGCUAAUUGGCAUUCCAGGGGUAAGUGGUUACUGGUGCAGGCUCCUCCUUCCAACCCCGCCAUCACGAGAGACUCAGGCCCUUCCUACCUUUCUAUGCUGUCGUUCUUAGCAAAUUUGUUUUUAAUUUUCCUGUAUGUUGCCUUAUGGUUGCAAGAUGGCAGCAAUAGGGCCAGUCAUCAGGAAAAAGGGGGCAAGGAUCAGGACAUCUAUGAUCCUUUAUCCGGCCACUUUCACAUAGAUCUCCAAGACCAGACUUAUCCCCCAUGUCCAUAUUUAGUUGCAAGGAGGCUGGGAAAAUGAGGAAUAGGAUUGCCAUUGUUGGUAUGGCCAACCAUGACUAAUCCCCAGGGGCUGGGCAAUUGCUGCCACCAAACAAUAUUGGGGUGCUGAUCAGAAAAAAGAAGGGGCUGGAUAUUGGUUCCACUUCAGAGGUUUACAUAUGUUUUGGUCAGCAAUCUGCUGUUCUUUCCCUAUUUUCUCAGAAGCAGUCUGGUCAAAGUUGCCCGCUUAUCAAUAGCUAUUCCCAAUUGGUGUGUAUGCUUAAGUGUGGAUUGUAGGGAUUCAGAUGUGGGAGAGAUAAUGAGGGCAAGAGUGGUCAGGGGAUGCCUCAUGAAAGAGUAGAAUUGAAGGGGGGGAGGAUUAAUGUAGGUGGUAGGGAAAAGAAACAGCAACCUAGCAAGAGGGAUCACACAAGUGAAGGCGGGGAGAUCAGCUAAGCACUUGUCUGAUAAGAGAAAUCUCAACUUCUGAGAGGAGUUGAGACUCUCUGUGUUAAGUGUAUCUGAUGCUUUGACAUUUGAGACCUUGCUGACCUGGAGAGACUGUCUCUCUCAGGGCUGGCCAAUUCCUAGAGGUCGUAAAUGACUUGCCUGCCAGCACAUGCAAACCAACAAAUCCAGAGCCCCCAACUAUCUCCUCCUUUAUUGAGCUCUUAAGAGCUACCCACCUGCCCUAAUCAUACAAGGGCCAGAUAGGAGACAACUAGAGACAGUUGCUCUACCCCAAAUCCUGCUGAAUUUCAACUAGCCAAUCCUAAACCUGCUUAUCCUGCCUCACCUUUUCCUUCUCAUGGAAACCAUAAUAAAGGCUCUUACUUUUUCUCCUUGCUCCCUCUGCUUCCUGACUGACUCUGGUGCUUCCCUGGGUGGCCCCCACACUGUGCCAUGCUGGACUAUACCUCCUGUUUCCAAGGAUCUCUUUCAGCAAUGCUUCGAGGAGACUGAAAAUAUUUUCUUCCAAGAGAAUAAAGUGAAUACCACGUGGAGGACAGUCUCUAAAACGUAUUGCUCAUGUGGCUGUGCCAAUGACCCAGCUAUUAACGGAAAACAUACUUUUCAUUUCGACAACUGUCGACUGGACCUAAUUGCUUUUUGAUGGUAGUUCUGGAAAAAUAUAGUAAUACUAGUCACCGUGGAUUCUACCAUUUAAAAAGGAAAGUUAUUGCUGAGUGUUCUGAAUGAUGCUGCAAAGUAAAUGGCCACCUUGGUGCACUAGAAACAAAAUUACUGUCUCAUAGUGGCAGUGGGAUGUACUGAUGGUCAACAAGGUGCCAAAUUCAUUGGUGAGCUGGAAGGGAGGCUCUGUGGGUUUCCCGAGCUGGGAGUUGAAGACAAUAAGGUAGCGAGUCUGCGUGAAGCAGAUGGUGUAUGAAGGAAGAGCCUGGGACACCCACGGGGAAGCCCACUCACUCGCCACCCUGCUCAAGGACGCUGCACUGUGAGGACUGUCACUGUGCUCCAGAGCCUCCUGAAACAAAAGACCUAGGGUACUUCCCAUAUGGUGAUACAGAGAGAUUUCCCCUGGUGUGAACCAGCACAAUAUGCAUGCACCAUGGAUGUGCCAGGACCACGGAGGUCUGGGAGGUCACAGCUCUGAGGAACGGAUGGUGUCUCUAAGGAGGUGCACAGCCAAUACCCCUCACACUGAGGAGUAGAGAGAACCCACUCUCAGUUCCCCCGAGUUCCAGGAGCAGUGAAAUCACUAAAGAAGAAUAGAUGUGUCCAUCAAGACAAGAAACUGCAACUCAGAGACAACCAAAGCUUGUUCAAGAAAAGCUCUGUGCCCAGAUACUCUGUUUGUCAUCUCUAGUUGUUGUGGAAUCUAGGAAAAGGCACAGAAAUGCCAUGUCAGAGCAAUUGCAUUUGGGAUUCAAUGUACUCUCAGCUGUGCACUGACGGCUUCCUCACCUACCGUUAUGAAGUCCUUUUGCUGGCAGUGAUUACAGAAGACGGUGACAUCGAAGAAGAGGCUCUGUCUGAAUUUGGGAGGCCUAAUAAAAAAAAAAAGGAAAUUGGAGAAAGAAACUUCUAUAGCAUUAAAAACUUGGAAAUGUUCUGGGGGUAUCAUCCACCCACCACUUUCAUUUUGCAGAUGGGAAAAUGGAUGAAGAGAGAACAUGUCCCCGCCUCCGAGAGGGAGAGGGAACAGCCCUAAAGAAUGAGACAGAGUCCUUGGCUUGUAGACUCAGACCAUUCCAAAAGAUCUAUAAGGUUGUUCGACUUCACUUGAACAGUAUUUGUUUUCUCUUUACUUCAGCAGUUCACUGCCAGGUGGAGUUGAGCAUGGGUGAUGCAAUGUAUAAGGGACCUGAAGCCUGAUCAUGUUGUAAUCAUGUCAUACACUAUGUCACUCUGGAUGGACCAAGCUUACCCAAGACAUACCUGCCUUGAUACUCACUCCAGAAGACAAGUCUGGUUGGUUGCGAGAUUUGAUGAGGGUUAGUAGGUAUCAUGUAGGGCUCCUGAUAUCUGAAAGUGAUUGACACUGCUCAUUCUCACAUUGUCAGUAAUUCGUAGUGUGUUCUGCAUCUAGCACAUUCAUGUUUAGAAAAACAAGGGAAACAAAUUUUUUCUUCUCCUUCAGAUUUCUUUAAUUUAAAUGUUUUGGGAAAAUAUUGGCUUUCUUCCUCAAUUCUUCAGCUGUUGUCUACCGCAAUGAAUCAGCUUCAAUUUCUCGAGUCACAUUAUUUCUUUUUUCUUUCCAAAAUAAUGGAAGAAUGUGAGUCCUCCCAGGCACAUCACACUAAGAAAUAUCAGGAACAAAAUGGACAAAAUGGUUUCUGUGAAGGAAUUAAUGGCUGAUAUUUAUAAUAUGCUUACGAUGUGUUAGGCACAUGGAUGUAUUUUAGGUUUUAACAUGAUGUUUGCCUCCUCAACUAUUCUGCUCUGUUUGGAAAUUCAUCAAGACUUUCAUAGUUGAGUUCUAUUCAUCCCAGAGAGGUUCGGUGUCCCUGGUCCAAUGCCAUUGUGUUUACCAUCACAGGGUUUAUAGCGUGAAAUUCUUUCCCAUGUCUUCCUUUGCAUUUGCAUCUUGAACUUACAAACUGAUCACAUUCCCUGAUAUUUAAGAUGGUCUUCUCCUUCAUUACAUGCAAUUAUUUCUCUCUGAAUUUUGCACCUUUUGAUAUUGAAAGCAUCUUUAUUAAACAGGCAGAUUUGAAAAAUUUUAAACAGACAUUGAAAAUAAUUUUUUAAAAUUCCUUUUUAAUUUCAUGAAGUGCUCUUUCACCUUUUAGCCAGUAGUUGUCAUCACCUAGACUAUUUUGGAGUACACAACAAAAAGUAGGCAGAUGUCAGAAAAUAAAAUGGUAACCCAAGUUUGAAGGUUAAUGUCUAGAAUGCAUUUUGAAAACAAGCAAGACACCCAAUACUCAAACUUGAAUUCUACUGAGCUACUUUUAUAACUUACAGAGCACCUUCAUUUCCUCUUAACUCAGCCUUAAAGCCUACUCCCCUCCCACCUGCUUAUACAGAGUUGACUACCACUGAGAUUCCUGCUGAGAUGUUUCUGUUUUGGGAUCUGACUUGCUGCUGAGCUUGUCAAUAGCUCAUCUCUUACUGGGUCUUGUGUCUUCCAUAUCAGCCCUACCCCUGAUAAUUCAUCAGCUUAUCUGCCCUCUGAUCCUCUGAAAGGAUC
Long non-coding RNA from Equus caballus (horse), 4325 nucleotides. NCBI's taxonomy places the organism in Eukaryota, Metazoa, Chordata, Mammalia, Perissodactyla, Equidae. The record is from Ensembl.